RNAcentral lists this ribosomal RNA (496 nucleotides) under uncultured bacterium. RNAcentral describes it as "partial 16S ribosomal RNA". It matches the Rfam family "Bacterial small subunit ribosomal RNA", at positions 28 to 506 of the family's 1533-position model. The record is from RNAcentral.
GACGAACGCUGGCGGCGUGCCUAAUACAUGCAAGUUGAGCGAUGAAGAUUGGUGCUUGCACCAAUUUGAAGAGCAGCGAACGGGUGAGUAACGCGUGGGGAAUCUGCCUUUGAGCGGGGGACAACAUUUGGAAACGAAUGCUAAUACCGCAUAACAACUUUAAACAUAAGUUUUAAGUUUGAAAGAUGCAAUUGCAUCACUCAAAGAUGAUCCCGCGUUGUAUUAGCUAGUUGGUGAGGUAAAGGCUCACCAAGGCGAUGAUACAUAGCCGACCUGAGAGGGUGAUCGGCCACAUUGGGACUGAGACACGGCCCAAACUCCUACGGGAGGCAGCAGUAGGGAAUCCUCGGCAAUGGACGAAAGUCUGACCGAGCAACGCCGCGUGAGUGAAGAAGGUUUUCGGAUCGUAAAACUCUGUUGGUAGAGAAGAACGUUGGUGAGAGUGGAAAGCUCAUCAAGUGACGGUAACUACCCAGAAAGGGACGGCUAACUACGU